Small nuclear RNA from Ictidomys tridecemlineatus (thirteen-lined ground squirrel), 107 nucleotides. Lineage: Eukaryota; Metazoa; Chordata; Mammalia; Rodentia; Sciuridae. The record is from Ensembl.
GUACUUGCUUUGGCAGCACACAUACUAAAAUUGGAAUAAUACAGAGAAUACUAGCAUGGCCCCUGUGCAAGGAUGACACGCAAAUUCAUGAAGCAUUUCAUAUUUCA